ACCACUUCCUUUCCUCUGUGCCUCCACCACAAACACUUAUGAAGGUUCAGUGUGAAGAUCUAGUCUGUCUCUUUCCAGCUGAUGGUCAUCAUGUUGCACCUGAACCAAGCCCUGCUCUCCAUUCAGCUCGUAGUUAUGUGUCAUGGCUUAGAAGUAGCUAACCACUGGAGUGAACUGGUGUUCAGGGGAAAGUCUGUCACGUUAACCUGCAACAGAUCCAUGAUAAACGCAACACAAGUCAACUGGACCAAAGGCAGAUUUCUUUUCUCUUAUAAAACUGCAAACAAUGGCACGGUUUCAAAUUUUACCUCCAACAGACAGAGAAUAGACGUUGACUUUCAUUCAAAGCUGAAUAUUUUUAAUGCUCAGCAUGAGGACGCAGGACUCUAUAGAUGUGACGUAUCUGAGAGAAGAGGGACCUGGGUGGAUGUGUGGAAUUUAACUGUGUCUGAGGAACGGGAAGAAAUCAACCCACCUUUCCGGUCGUUGUAUUUUCUAUACAUACGCAUACUCAUAACUGGGCUGCUUGUGUUUGGCAUCACAUUAGCUCUUUGCCUCUACAGAAAACGCUUGGCCAGGACCUGAAAAAACGCUGUGGCAACAGGAAAACCUGAGUUUCAUCUUCAGUUGGGAGAAGAGGAGAUGAUCUUUUUCAUUGUUUGAACUUUCAUGUUUUAGUUUCCUAUAGUCUCUACUAUUUCCUGCAUCUGUGUCUAUUCCAGUCCAUUUUUAUUUUCAGUCCCUGGUGGCAGGAUACAGACAAUCACAAGAUGCAGUCAACACUUACAUGAACCAAUUUAGACUCGGUUCAAUGUGUGACUUCUAGUAAGUAUGAAGUUCAGAUAAUAGCUGAAUAAGAAAAGGGAUAUUGACAGAAAGUAUACGAGAGUACACAUAUAAUUAUGCAUAAAAAAUAAAUAUUUUCUGAGAUAGAGGGUGUAUGAUACACAUUUUUUUGUAGUUAUGAAAAUAACCUGAGGCAUUGUUUAUAUUUUAAUUUCUUGGAACCUAAAACCUCAUGCUAGCUUACUGUACCUGCUUGGGUCUGUGACCAUAAAAUCCAUGUAAAAUAUACCAAAAUGCUAAUGUUAUAAAUGUUUUGAUAAGUGUAAAGGCUGUUGUUUUAUUUUUUUUUGCUUCUUUUGUGUUGUCUGUCUUUUGAAAACUGCAUAAAAUGUUUAAUGCAAUAAUAUGGCCAACAUUUAUGUAACUAUAUCUUAUAUAAAACAUUAAAACAUCA
Long non-coding RNA from Scophthalmus maximus (turbot), 1240 nucleotides. RefSeq lists it as uncharacterized. The record is from RefSeq and is a predicted model, not a curated record. The transcript has 4 exons. Lineage: Eukaryota; Metazoa; Chordata; Actinopteri; Pleuronectiformes; Scophthalmidae.